RNAcentral lists this ribosomal RNA (810 nucleotides) under uncultured archaeon. Its description in RNAcentral is "bacterial SSU rRNA". It matches the Rfam family "Archaeal small subunit ribosomal RNA", at positions 19 to 804 of the family's 1478-position model. The record is from RNAcentral.
GGACCCCACUGCUAUUGGGAUGGGACUAAGACAUGUUAGUCGAGCGUCUCUAAGCUAUGAUGGAGACGCGGCGCACAGCUCAGUAACACGUGGCUAACCUGCCCUUGGGACAGGGAUAACCCCGGGAAACUGGGGCUAAUACUUGAUAGGUGAGAACUCCUGGAAUGGAUUCUCGCUGAAAGGGCGUCUAGAUCAUGCUUUUAGGCGUUGCCCAAGGAGGGGGCCGCGGCCGAUCAGGUUGUUGGUGAGGUAACGGCUCACCAAGCCUUUAACCGGUACGGGCCGUGAGAGCGGUAGCCCGGAGAUGGGUACUGAGACAAGGGCCCAGGCCCUACGGGGCGCAGCAGUCGCGAAAACUCACCAAUUCACGAAAGUGUGAGUGGGCCAUCCCGAGUGCCGUCCGCUGAGGAUGGCUUUUCCUUAGUGUACAAAGCUGGGGGAAUAAGGAGAGGGCAAGUCUGGUGUCAGCCGCCGCGGUAAUACCAGCUCUCCGAGUGGUGGGGAUGUUUAUUGGGCCUAAAGCAUUCGUAGCCUGCUGGACAAGUCCUCCGUUAAAUCCAACGAUUCAAUCGUUGGGCCGCGGGGGAUACUGUUCGGCUAGGGGGCGGAAGAGGUCGACGGUAUUCUCGGGGUAGGGGUGAAAUCCUAUAAUCCCGGGAGGACCACCAGUGGCGAANGCUGUCGGCUAGAACGCGCCCGACGGUGAGGGAUGAAAGCUGGGGGAGCGAACCGGANUAGAUACCCGGGUAGUCCCAGCUGUAAACGAUGCANGCUANGUGUUGGCGCGGCUACGUGCCGCUCCAGUGCCGC